Molecule: long non-coding RNA, 15830 nt
Filed under: Ananas comosus (pineapple)
Lineage: Eukaryota; Viridiplantae; Streptophyta; Magnoliopsida; Poales; Bromeliaceae
Description: long non-coding RNA (ACOM_LNC003494)
Source: RNAcentral
UUGUAAUAGCAAGUAGAUUAUGUUUUUGAUACUUCCUUAUGCAAUCUUUGAUUGAAAUGUGUUCCUGGUUGGAACUUUGUACAUUGUAUUGAUUGCGACGCCUUGAAUGUACAGGGGAGACUCUGUCCGCGGUACCGGAAAAACCCUGUCCAUUCGGCGGUCUGUCGGCGUGCCCGAAACCGGCCAAAUAGGCGGGCUCGGGGCGUGACACGAACCCACUGGGAACUUUGUUUAGUUCUCAAACCCUGUUUUGCAGAGCCUAAUACGAGCGCGUGCGUCGAGGAUCACGGCAAGGGUAUCGCGCCCUAGAUAGAGUGGACCAUCGGCAUUAGCUCACUACCAUCGAGUAUAAAAGGAAAGAAUGAAUGUAAAAACCUUUUUGGAAAGAGAAUGUGAUAUAUAUGUUAGAUGUUAGUUUGUAUGUUAAAUGAGAGGUUUUGUAAUAAGCUAAAGAAUGUAAGUUGUUAAACACACUAUGUGGAAAUGUUCUAGUAAGUAGCUUACUUUCUCUCGUAUCUUGAUAUGCCUCUCGCAAAUGUUGAAUGCUAAUAUCUCUUGUUUAGAUAUGUAUGCAUAGACUUUGUUACGCUUCGGGCGGGCAGGGGAAACUCUGUCUGUUCUGCAGGUCUGUUUCGGACCCGAACUGUCCAAAUUGGCGGUGACGGGACGUGACAGAUUGAGGUGGUAUCAGAGCGGAGAGCGGUCUAGGAAGACCUAGGAAACCUUAGGACUUGUGGCCUUAAGGAUUUAGAGACGUGAGAGACGAUGACUCUUGGGUUGUGGCGAAAGUGAAAUGAUUGGGUCAAGUUGUGAAAUAUGUCUCUAAUGAGCUUUAGAGACGGAUUCAAGGUGUGAUUUAAUCUUAGCUUGAGGUGGUCAUGUUGGCGGCCGACAACAUGAUGCCGAGAGAUGAGAUUAAGUACCCUUGUUUAACUUUCGCCUAAUUGGGUUGUCUCGUUGGUGUUACUAACUUAUGUUAGUUAUAAAUUCGUGGAGUGUAACCGGGGGUGCUGUUUCCUUUCAGGACGUGAUGAGACGUGGAAGGCCACCCCCGAAGGUACCUACUCCUGAUCCGGCACCGCCUCUUGAGGUGCCUGAGUCGUCGGUAUCUGGCGAGAUACAAGAUUUGCGGGAUCAAGUUGCCGCUCUUGUUGGAGUGGUGCGGAGACAAGCUGAAGCUUCUCAGCAGCUGGCUGAGGCCUCCCAGCGACAGGAAGAACAGAUGGCGCUGCUUCGGGAAUUGGUGUCCCGACAGGCGGCGGCGACACCUGUCACUCAGCAGCCACCCGUCUCACCUGUGCGCGCCCCUACUGGAGUUGAGGCGGCGGGUGCGGCGGCACCACCGCCGAUGGGGUACACCGUGCCACCAGGUGUGGCGGCGGGCACUUGCCCGGCGAUGUCGAGUACUUCUACUCAUGUUGAUCCGGCGUUGGAGGCCGAGAGGGACCGAGCUCUCGCUUGCCUCACCGCAUUCAAGAAGUUCAAUCCGCCUAUUUUCAACGGGGAGUCGGGUGACCCGUGGGAAAUGGAAUCGUGGGUGGAUACAAUGGAGAAGUUGUUCGAGGAUCUCUAUACCCUUGAGCAAGAUAAGGUGCACCUAGCUGUGCAUUGCCUCGAGAAGUCCGCUCGUGUUUGGUGGAAGGCGACUCGUCAGAAUCGCUCCCCUACAUUACCCCCGAUGAUGUGGGAGGAGUUCCGAGGAUUGCUUUAUGGUGUUCACUUCCCGGAUAGUGAUAAGAAGAAAAUGGAGGAGCAAUUCCGAAUCCUUAAGCAAGGGGAUCGCACUGUUCGAGAUUAUGAGAGGGAGUUCUCUCACAUUGUGAAUUGCGUUCCACAUGUGGUCCGGAGUGACGAAGACAAGGCGGGAUGCUUUGAGCGUGGACUUCGCCGCGAGAUCUAUGCGGCGAUGCAACCCUUAAGGUUGAAGACCUUUACUGAGGUGUUUGAUAGAGCUCUUUGGGUAGAGCAAGGAAUCGCCAAGAUGCGCGCGGAGCGCGAAUCGAAUGAUAAGGGUGCAGAUAAGAAGCGGUCGGCUAGUGGUCCCGCUGGAUCAUCAAAGUACAAGAAGCCCCCGAAGUAUCCGCGUAAGCCGGGGAAGGAUCGUGGACCUCCUCACUGCUACAUUUGUGGGGGAAAUCAUCGGUCCCACGACUGUGAGCGGCGUGGGAAGUGUUAUCAGUGUGGGCAACCUGGUCAUGGAUGGCGUGAGUGCCCAAUGCGUGUGUCACCGGCUCCGACUUCUGCUUCGGCUCCGCCUGCUCCGCGACAGUUCACAGGCCAUCCGCCCGCGAUGUCUACUGGACGCACCAUGGUGCCGCGUCAAGCCGAGGGAUCUCGUGCGGCGCCAAGUGGACGAGUUUAUGCUGCUCAAGUGGAGGAGCCUGCCGUAGCCGACGAUGUCGUGGCAGGUAUUAUUUUAGUUCAUAAUACUAGAGCUAGAGCAUUGUUUGACACUGGCGCAUCAAACUCAUUUAUUAGCAAGUCUUUCGCUAAAGCUCAUGACAUUGAAAUUUCAUUGUGUGCGGACUUUUGGUGGGUGGAUGCACCUGAGCACACAUUUAGUAUCAAGGAUGAAUGUAGAGCUUGUCCGGUGCAAAUUGGCGAUUGGAUCAUGCCAGUGAAUUUGCUUGUGUUGAACCGGAUGAAGGGCUUCGACAUAGUCCUUGGAAUCGAUUGGCUCUCAAAGUAUCAUGCCACCAUAGAUUGUAAAAGCAAGGUGAUCACUUUUUGUGAGCCUGGUCAGAAGGAAGUUGUUUAUCGUGCAUGCAAGAGCUCGCUCUUUGCUAUGACAGUGUCGACGUCAAGAGCAAGAAGGUUGAUUAAAAGUGGAUGUGAAGCCUACUUGGCGUCGGUGGUGGAGACUCAAAAAGAGCUCCCAGCUCUUGGGGACAUUCCGGUCGUAUGUGAAUUUCCGGAUGUAUUUCCCGCGGAAUUACCGGGAUUGCCACCGGACCGGGAGAUCGAAUUUGUGAUUGAAUUAAUUCCCGGGACGACGCCGAUUUCUAAAGCUCCUUACCGCAUGGCACCAGCGGAGUUGAAGGAAUUAAAGGCACAGUUGCAAGACCUUCUCGACAAGGGCUUUGUUAAGCCGAGUGUAUCACCGUGGGGAGCCCCGGUGUUGUUUGUAAAGAAGAAAGACGGAUCGCUUCGACUCUGCGUGGAUUAUCGCGAGUUGAACAAGGUCACAAUCAAGAACAAGUACCCGUUGCCUCGUAUUGACGACUUGUUUGAUCAGUUGCAAGGGUCGCGGGUAUAUUCGAAGAUUGACCUCCAGUCGGGCUAUCAUCAGUUGAAGGUUAAGCCGGAGGAUGUGCAUAAGACUGCGUUUCGGACGCGGUAUGGGCACUAUGAAUUCACGGUUAUGCCAUUUGGACUCACGAAUGCCCCGGCGGCUUUCAUGGACUUAAUGAACCGUAUCUUCAAGUCUUACUUGGACCGUUUUGUCGUAGUCUUCAUAGACGACAUCUUGGUCUACUCUCGGAGUGAUGAAGAGCAUGUGGAGCACUUGAGAAUUGUGCUACAACUACUUCGGGAGGAGAAAUUAUAUGCCAAGUUAAAGAAAUGCGACUUUUGGCUUCGGAAAGUUGCAUUCCUUGGGCAUGUGAUCUCGGCUGACGGAGUUUCGGUUGACUCGGGUAAGGUGGAGGCAAUAAAGAAUUGGCCUCGCCCGACGAAUGUGACUGAGGUUAGAAGCUUUUUGGGCCUUGCCGGCUAUUAUAGACGGUUCGUGGAAGGAUUUGCUAAGAUAUCUCUUCCACUAACGCGUCUUACUCAGAAAGGAGUUAAGUUUGCGUGGAGCGAGGAUUGUGCUCGAGGCUUUGGGGAAUUAAAGAAGAGAUUGACUACAGCUCCGGUCCUUGCCUUACCUACUCCCGGUGAGAGUUUUGUGGUGUAUAGCGAUGCUUCGCGAUUGGGUCUUGGGUGCGUGUUGAUGCAACGCGGGCAAGUUAUUGCAUAUGCUUCCCGACAGUUGAAGGCCUAUGAGAAAAAUUAUCCAACCCAUGAUCUCGAGUUGGCUGCCGUGGUCUUCGCACUCAAGUUGUGGAGACACUAUUUGUAUGGCGAGCGUUGCGAAGUAUACACCGACCACAAGAGCCUCAAGUAUCUGUUUACACAGAAAGAAUUGAACCUGAGGCAGCGCCGAUGGUUAGAAUUGUUGAAAGACUAUGACAUCACAAUUCUUUACCAUCCGGGAAAGGCUAAUGUGGUUGCCGAUGCAUUAAGUCGGAAGUCGGUGGAAAAUCUUGCGAUGAUGAUUACUAAACAACCGCCAUUGCUUGAAGAAUUGCGGCGUUUCAAUUUGGAAGUGGUAGCUCCGAACGUUCCAAUUGUUAUUGCAAGCUUAGUGGUGCGACCGACCUUGUUGGAGAAAGUUAAGACUCAACAGUUACAAGAUUCAUAUCUCCAAAAGGUGCGAGGUGAUGUUGAGGGUGGACAUGCGAAUGAUUUCAACGUUGGCUCCGAUGGCACAAUCCGGUUUCGAGGCCGAUUAUGUGUUCCUAGUGAUGAGGGAAUGCGGAGCGAGAUCAUGCAAGAAGCACACCAAUCCCCUUAUAGCAUACAUCCGGGUGGCACUAAGAUGUAUAAGGAUUUGAGAAACCAUUAUUGGUGGCCCGGGAUGAAGAAGGAUAUUGGUCGCUUUGUGGCGCAAUGUUUGGUGUGCCAACAAGUUAAGGCCGAACAUCGACUCCCUGCGGGAAAGCUACAAAGUUUACCAAUCCCCGUGUGGAAAUGGGAGGACGUGACUAUGGACUUGGUAGUGGGUUUACCUCGUUCUCAAGGCGGUCACGAUGCAAUAUGGGUGGUCGUGGAUCGCCUCACGAAAUCUGCGCAUUUCAUGCCAAUCCACACCACAUGGUCAGGUGAUAAACUUGCACAAGUUUAUUUGGAUGAGGUGGUCCGACUACAUGGUGUUCCGGUAUCAAUUGUGUCGGAUCGAGACCCUCGAUUUACUUCCCAGUUUUGGAAGAACUUGCAAAGUGCUCUUGGCACACGGCUCGAAUUUAGUACUGCCUUUCAUCCUCAGAGCGAUGGUCAGUCGGAGAGGACGAUACAAAUCCUUGAGGAUAUGUUGCGAGCAUGUGUUCUUGACUUCAAAGGAGGUUGGCAUAGUUAUUUGCCAAUGGCGGAGUUUGCCUAUAAUAAUAGUUAUCAAGCGAGCAUUGGAAUGGCACCGUUCGAGGCCUUGUAUGGACGGAAGUGCCGCUCCCCAAUACAUUGGAGUGAAGUUGGAGAGCGACUUGAAAUGGGUCCAGAUGUAGUACAAGAGGCCGAGGAGAAGGUUCGCAUUGCUCGGCAAAGAAUGCUAACGGCACAGUCUCGGCAAAAGAGCUAUGCUGACAAGCGCCGACGAAGCCUCGAGUUUACCGUGGGUGACAAGGUAUUCUUAAAAGUCUCCCCUAUGCGAGGCGUUAAGCGAUUUGGAAUGCGAGGGAAGUUAAGUCCUCGCUAUGUUGGGCCGUAUGAGAUUUUGGAUCGGGUUGGCCCCGUGGCUUAUCGGUUAGCAUUGCCACCUCGACUUGCGGGAGUGCACAAUGUGUUCCAUGUGUCGACACUCCGCAAGUAUGUUUCUAACUCUACGCAUGUACUCCAAUAUGAACCACCCGAGCUUCAGGAGGAUAUGUCGUACGAAGAAUUUCCGGUGCGCAUCCUAGCUCAUGAGGAGAGAAAGCUACGGAAUCGUGCGAUCGCAUAUGUCAAAGUUCAAUGGAGUAAUCAUGCUGAACGAGAAGCUACGUGGGAGCUCGAAAGCAAGAUGCAUGAAGAGUAUCCUUACCUCUUCCCCGAGUCUAAUUGAGGUAUAAUUUCAAGUUUCGAGGACGAAACUUCUUUUAAGGAGGGGAGGAUGUAGUGUACCGAAUUUUAACAUAGAAGUAAGAGUAAAUAAAAAUAGUGUAAAAUACUAUUUUUAUUGGACUUAAAGAAGUUUUCUAUGUGCAAAUGAGGUGCUUACUUGGGGGUUAAGUUUCCUAUGCAUAAGUAAAGAGUUUACUUGGGGGUCAAGUUUUCUAUGGCUAAGUAAUGGGCUAACUUGGAGGCUAAGUUUCCUAACUUGGAGGCUAAGUUUCCUAUGUAUAUAUAAAUAUGAUAUGAGGACUUGGACCUUUUCUCUCAUUUUCCACCCCUUAACCCAAAAAGAGAAGCCUUCUCUUUCCCUCUCUAAACCUCUCUCUCUCCUAGCUCCUAGAGUGUUACUCCAAAAGUGGAGAUUUGGUGGAAGAAGCUUACUUGGAGGUGGAGCUUUCCUCUUCCUCACCAUUGGCUUGAAGAGAGCUUGGGUUUGGAUCGGAAGGAAUCGACGGCCGUAAAUCGCGCUACUAGGCUACCCGCUUUGUGUCGACGCCACAAGGUGGGGGGUGCUAUCCGAAAUAGCCGGGUUUCAUUCUAUGUCUAAGUUCUACUAUUUUUUGAUCAUAUAUCAUCAUGUGUAGAAUAGUGAGAAUCCUAUGAGUUGUGGUAAUUUCAUGCUUAGUGUGAGGGAUGAUGAUCUAUGAUUGCAUGAUACUUGUAGGAAUAUCUAUUUGCAUGAUGUUGAGAUAGAUAUGGACAUGUAUGUUGCAUGAGAACCUUUAUAUGAUGCCAAUAUAGAUGUAUGUAUACAUAUAGCAUGAGUUGCUAGUGGACAUAUGCAUGUGGAUAUGAUGUGAGAAUAGACUAGAUUCAUGAGGAACUAGUAUGUGAACCAAUGACAUUUGAGAAUUGGAAACCUAUGCAUAUGUGGCCGACUUGAGCAUGCCUUGUGAUGAGGACUUGAUGAUACUCGCUUUGUCUGUUAUAGCUUGUGGAUGGUCGCGCCUCCCAAGCAGUGAGCUCCGGAGUUGUAUCACAAUUGCGAAUAAAGCGGGGGGCCUCUCCCGUCAGACGUCACGGUCCCGUGACAGUGUGUGCGAGUGGUUCGACCUUCGGGCGAAUCGAUUGGACUUGGCAAAAGGCAUGAUCAUGGCAUUUCAUAUAUCGUUUGCAUACAUGAUAGAACUUAAAUUCAUACUUGUUGACAUGAUUAGUAAAGGCAUAGCUACACAUUUGAGCAUGAUAUAGAUGUAGAUGAGCAAGGUAGGCUUGUUGUUAUAUCUCUUAUUUCUUUGACAUAUUAUCCUCUUUAUUGUUUCUAUGCCUUUCUUGGACCUAGUGGGAAAAUCGGCGGGGUCGGCGGCCGAACCCACUGGGAACUUUGUUUAGUUCUCACACCCUGUUUUACAGAGCCUAGUACGAGCGCGUGCGUCGAGGAUCGCGGCAAGGGCAUCGCGCCCUAGAUAGAGUGGACAAUCGACAUUAGCUCGCUACCCCCUAUGUAUAGCAAGGAAUGAAUGAAUGUAAAAACCCUUUUGGAAAGAGAAUAUGAUGUGUAUGUUAAAUGAGAGGUUUUGUAAUAAGCUAGAGAAUGUAAGUUGUUAAAGACUCUAUGUGGAAAUGUUUUAGUAAGUAGCUUGCUUUCUCUUGUGUCUUGAUAUGCCUCUCGCAAAUGUUGAAUGCUAAUAUCUCUUGUUUAGAUAUGUAUGCAUGGACUUUGUUACGCCUUGGGCGGAUAGGGGAAACUCUAUCCGUUCGGCGGAUCUGUUUCAGACCCGAACUGUCCAAAUUGGCGGUGACGGGACGUGACANACUUUUCGGUCGUUUGAAUUUGGGUUUAGUUUAACGACUUUUCGGUUGUUUGAAUUUGGGUUUAGUUUAGCAAUUUUUUGAUCGAUUGAAAUCGAGAUGUUCAUGAAACCGAUUCAUGAAAUUAAUUCAUGCUAGGAGCCCGUUUGUAAAGUCCAUUAAAUUUAUGACAAGGAGGGCCCAUGAAAUUAAUUUAUAGAAUUAAUUCAUGAUAGGGGGCCUAUUUGGCAAACCCAUGAAAUUAAUUUGUCAAAUUAAUUCAUGAUAGGAGGUCCAUUUGGAAAGUCUAUAAAACUAAUUCAUGAUAAGGGGGCCUAUUUUGCAAACCAUGAAAUUAAUUCGUAGAAUUAAUUUAUGAUAAGGGGUCAUUUGGAAAGCUCAGGAAAUUAAUUCAUAGAAUUAAUUUAUAAUAAAGAGCCCAUUUGGAAAGCCCAUGAAUUCGGUUUGGGUUGGAGGUAUUUGGAUGACAUAGGUUUGGUAGAUUUGGUUGGGUUUUAUUUAUGAACUUUGGAUUUUGGAUCUUUGAGUUUUGGAUCUUUAUUUGUGGAUUUUGGAUUUUUGGGAUUUUGUUUGUGGGCUGAGAUAGAUCUUGGAUUUUAUAUGUUCAGGGCCCAACUCUGCAUGUGGGCUGAGACGGGUUACGGGCUUUAAUAUUCUGGGCUCGAAUCUGUAUGUGGGCUGGGUUUUUUAUUGAUUUUGAAUCCAAAUCUGCGUAUGGGCUGGAUUUCGGGCUCUACAGGUUGUGGACUCGAAUUUGCAUGUGGGGUUGGUGCCUCUCUUUUUUUAUUGCUUAUAAAGUUUAUUCGUGUAACCCAUAAAUAAAUAGCUCAAAUUCAUUUCAUCAACAAUUUUUUUUGGUUCCAUUUUUUUUGUUCUUUCUUUUUUUUUUUUUAACUGAGAGAAGGAACAACUUUUUUUUUGCAUUUGUUCUUUUCUUUCAUUUUCUUUUCUUUUUUUUCUCUUUUUUUUGUGUGGACUGUCAGAGAGAGAGAGAGAUACAACUCCCUCUCUCUUUGUCUGUGUGUGUACGAAAUUGAGACAGAGAGAGAGAGGGGGUACCUCUCCCUUUUCUUUUUUUUUUUUGCUAAUUGUGAGAGAAAGGAAACCCAACUCCUUUUUUUUUUCUUUUCUUUUUUUUUUUCUUCUUUUCUUUCUUUUUCCUUUUUUUUUGCUGACUGUGAGAGAGAGAGAGAGGGAAAACCCAACUCUCUCUCUCUCUCUCUCUCUCUCUCUUUCUUUGUGUGCGUACGAAACCGAGGGAGAGAGAGUAGUACCCAACAACUCCUUUUUUUUUUUCUUUCUUUUCUUUCUUUUCUUUUCUUUUUUAUUCUUUCUUUCUUCUUUUUUUCUUUUGUGUUGACUGCCAGAUAGAGAGAAGUCCAACUUUUUUUUCUUUUUCUUCUUUUUUUGUUUGUUUGUUUGUUUGUUUUUUUUUAUUAUUUGUCCAAAUAUACGAAAUUUCGUAUCUCAUUUUUUUUAUACGAAAUUUAUCACGUCGAGCAAUACGAUCAAAUCGAACGAAGAUGAUGAAUCAAAACAGAACCCGUCCAUUUUUAAUUAUCAUUCUUAUUGUUAUUAUUUUUUGUCGCGUUUUGUUCAAGUACGCGGAGUUUAAUCGUGUCGAGCCUAUCACGAAGAUGGCCGCUCGAUUAAUUCUUUUGACCAUGUCGAACCUAUCGCGAAGAUGGCCGCACGGUUUACGUAUCGAAAUAAACAGAGCUCGAUCACCCAUUUUGACCAUGUCGAGCCUAUCGUGAAGAUAGCCGCACGGUUUACAUAGUAAAAUAUCCGGUUCGAUCAAUCAUUUUGACCAUGUCGAGCCUAUCACGAAGAUGGCCGCACGGUUUAGAGAUUAGCGAUGCGUACGAUAGAAGCGACGAUUUAAUGUCAAAUUUGAUCGGUUCAAAACCUAUCACGAAGAUGGUCGGGUUGAUCAAAUUGACAAAAAAAAACUCACGGUUUAGAGAUUAGCGAUGCAUAUACGCGACGGAAGCGACGAUUUAAUGUCAAAUUUGAUCGGUUCAAAACCUAUCACGAAAAUGGUCGGGUUGAUCAAAUUGACAAAAAAACGGACUUACGCUAUGCGUAUGCAUGCAUAUCUCCUACUGUUAUAGAAGUCGUUGUGAUUGUCGUUGUCGAAGUCGUAGCCGAAUUCAAGAGCCAGAGUCCUUUUUUAAUUCUUCUUUUUUUUUGUUGCUUUGUACGGAAGAGGAGGGGUGCACAUGGCACCCCCACUGCCAGCCGAGAGAGAGAGAGUGAGAGAGGAGAGAGAGAGAGGAGAGUAUAAAAACUCUUUUUUUUUUGUUUCUCACCUUUUUUUUCUUUCUUCUUCUUCUUUUUUUCUUUUUUUUUUUUUGCUUUGGUUCUCUUUCGGAUCUCUCCCUUUCUUCCUUCCUCUAAAAAAAUUCUCUCUCUAGACUCCUCUUUCGAAAUUUGGAUCUUAUUUUAUAUAGGAUUCAAAGAUGAUUCCCAUUUGGGAAUAAUUUAAAAAAUCAAUUUAUGAGGAAACAAACCUCAAUCAACUAAUUAUACCUCUUUUGUUUUAUUUUUUGAUAAUUUCCUCUUUUUUUUUCUUUUGAAUCUUUUCUUUCCCUAUUUCCUUCCUUCUAUAUUUUCAAUUUGAAUUUGAACUUUUUUUUUGUCUCAANCUAGGCGUAGCAACUGUUGAAACUUCACAUUGUGACUUAGACUAGAUCUUCAGGAUGCUAGUUAUGACACCAUGUUAGAGACAUGAGGAUUGGAUAGUUGAGACUUGGACCAUGCUUGCUUGCCAUUUGUGCUCAUUCGCACAUGCUUGUGAGGGUCGCUCCCUACAAGCCGGCACUCCGGAGUUAGCCUAUGCGACCUAUGUUCGCUCGUGCGGUAUUGAGAAGCCUACGAGGUCGAGUGGGACAGACACAUUCCAAGAGUAGGAAUGUCGGGCUACCACAGGCACUUAGGCGGCACAAGCUGGACUACCUUUGGUAGGUCCUUGAUUGGAAAUGGAAAUCGAUACGGGGUCGAGAUUGGUUAAUCACUACUAGAUAGGUUUAGUAGUUGGAUUACAUUUAUAUGUUUUUUUGCAUAGUGUUGAGACAUGUAGUAUAUUUGAUAGUCUCUUGUUGCAUUAGAGCAUACUUGGUUGCCAUGAUAGAGCUUAUGCAUCAUGCAUUGAUAAGGGUUAUUGACAUUAGACUAGUGCCAUUGGACGUAAUUGUAAGGAUAGAAUAGAUGUACAUUUUGGUUUGCAUCACGCUUUCUUUCAGCAGUUUAUUUACAUGCUCCUUAUUGCUUAUUAUUAUUAUCGUUGCUUACCUUUGUUUUUGGGGCCUAGUGGAGCAGGAGCUGAGGUCAGUAAUUGCCCACUGGGAACUAUAGCUUAUAGUUCUCACGCCCUCUUUUUCUCGAUGUUUUCAGAGCCUUCCACUCAGGGCGAAGCUAGGGACCGCGGGAAGGGAGUUGCUUCGAGCUAGCUUCCUUUGAGGACGAUUCGCUAGGUGGUCUACCUCUCGUUGUGUUUUACUUUGGAGAGGUUGAGAGUUCUACCAGUGUAUUAGAGACCACCGUUUUUGUACUUUUGAGACAGAUAUUGUACUACUUAUGAUUUCUUUAUUGUCUAGCUUUGCUUGCUCUGAUAUCUCUAGUUGCUAGUUAUUUUAUUUCUUAUAUUUGUUCUAUCUCUUGCUUUUACUUCCGCUUUUAUCGUAGACGCCUUAUAUGUGUAGACAUAUGGCGGGUCUGGGCACGCUACUGGGAGGGCCUCCGCCGGUCCCGGGGCGUGACAUAUCUCUUCCACUAACGCGUCUUACUCAGAAAGGGGUUAAGUUUGCAUGGAGCGAGGAUUGCGCUCGGGGCUUUGAAGAAUUAAAGAAAAGGUUAACUACAACUCCAGUUCUUGCCUUACCUACUCCCGGUGAGAGUUUUGUGGUGUAUAGCGAUGCUUCGCGAUUGGGUCUUGGGUGUGUGUUGAUGCAACGCGGGCAAGUCAUUGCAUAUGCUUCCCGACAGUUGAAGACCUAUGAGAAGAAUUAUCCCACCCAUGAUCUUGAGUUAGCUGCCGUGGUCUUCGCACUUAAGCUAUGGAGACAUUACUUGUAUGGCGAGCGUUGCGAAGUCUACACCGACCACAAGAGCCUCAAGUAUCUGUUUACACAGAAAGAGUUGAACCUUAGGCAGCGACGAUGGUUAGAAUUGUUGAAAGACUACGAUGUCACAAUUCUUUACCAUCCGGGAAAGGCUAAUGUGGUUGCCGAUGCAUUGAGUCGGAAGUCGGCGGAAAAUCUUGCGAUGAUGAUUACUAACCAACCGCCAUUGCUUGAAGAAUUACGACGUUUUGACUUGGAGGUAGUAGCUCCGGACGUCCCAAUUGUUCUUGCAAGCUUAAUCGUGCAACCGACCUUGUUGGAGCGGAUUAAGACUCAACAAUUACAAGAUUCUUAUCUCCAAAAGGUACGAGUUGACGUUGAGGGUGGACGUGCUAGUGAUUUUAGUGUUGGCUCCGAUGGCACCAUUCGGUUUCGCGGUCGGUUGUGUGUUCCUAGUGAUGAGGGAAUGCGGAGCGAGAUCAUGCAAGAAGCACAUCAAUCCCCUUAUAGCAUACAUCCGGGUGGCACUAAGAUGUAUAAGGAUUUGAGAACCCAUUAUUGGUGGCCCGGGAUGAAGAAGGAUAUCGGUCGCUUUGUGGCGCAAUGUUUGGUGUGCCAACAAGUUAAGGCCGAACAUCGACUCCCUGCGGGAAAACUUCAAAGUUUACCAAUCCCCGUGUGGAAAUGGGAGGAUGUGACUAUGGACUUGGUAGUGGGGUUACCUCGUUCUCAAGGCGGUCAUGAUGCAAUAUGGGUGGUGGUGGAUCGCCUCACGAAAUCUGCGCAUUUCAUGCCAAUCCACACCACAUGGUCGGGUGAUAAACUUGCUCAAGUUUAUUUGGAUGAGGUCGUCCGACUACACGGAGUUCUGGUAUCGAUUGUGUCGGAUCGGGACCCUCGAUUUACUUCACAGUUUUGGAGGAACUUGCAGAGUGCUCUGGGCACACGGCUCGAGUUCAGUACUGCUUUUCAUCCUCAAAGUGAUGGCCAGUCAGAGAGGACGAUACAAAUCCUUGAGGAUAUGUUGCGAGCGUGUGUCCUUGACUUCAAGGGAGGUUGGCAUAGUUAUUUGCCUAUGGCGGAGUUCGCCUACAAUAACAGUUAUCAAGCGAGUAUUGGAAUGGCUCCAUUCGAAGCCUUAUAUGGACGGAAGUGCCGCUCCCCGAUACAUUGGGGUGAAGUUGGAGAGCGACUUGAAUUGGGUCCGGACGUGUUACGCGAGGCCGAGGAGAAAGUUCGCAUUGCUCGGCAGAGAAUGUUAACGGCACAGUCUCGGCAAAAGAGUUAUGCCGACAAACGUCGACGAAGCCUCGAGUUUGCAAUUGGAGACAAGGUAUUUUUAAAGGUCUCCCCGAUGCGAGGCGUUAAGCGGUUUGGAAUGCGAGGGAAGUUAAGUCCUCGCUACGUCGGGCCGUAUGAGAUUUUGGAUCGGGUUGGCCCUGUGGCUUAUCGGUUGGCGUUGCCACCUCGGCUUGCGGGAGUGCACAAUGUGUUCCAUGUGUCGACACUCCGCAAGUAUGUUUCCAACUCUACGCAUGUGCUCCAAUAUGAACCACCCGAGCUCCGGGAGGAUAUGUCGUACGAGGAAUUUCCGGUAUGCAUCCUAGCUCGUGAGGAGAGGGAACUACGGAAUCGUGCGAUCCCAUAUGUCAAAGUUCAAUGGAGUAAUCAUGGCGAACGAGAAGCUACAUGGGAGCUCGAAAGCAAGAUGCGUGAUGAGUACCCUUACCUCUUCCCCGAGUCUAGUUGAGGUAUGACUCUAAGUUUCGAGGACGAAACUUCUCUUAAGGAGGGGAGGAUGUAGUGUACCGAAUUUUUUUAAUAUAGAAAUAAGAGUAAAUAAAAGUAUAUAAAAUUGUGCAAAUGAGAGGGGCUAAGGUGUAAUUGUGCAAAUGAGAGGGGCUAAGGUGGAAUGGUGCAAGUAAAAGAGUUUUACUUGGAGGGCAAGUUUCCUAUGUAUAAGAGAUUACUUGGAGGGCAAGUCUCCCUAUGUUAUGAGAGGGACUAAAGUGUAAUUGUGCAAAUCAAGGGUUUACUUGGAGGGCAAGUUUCCUAUGAGUGUGAGUGAACCCUUGCCCCCUUUUUCCCAAACCGUAGGAAAGAGAGAGUGGGCUUUCUCUCUCUUUCUCUCUUUGUCCUUGUGGUCUCUCUUUCUCUCUCUCUUUCUCUUUAUUAAAAAGAGGAUUUGCUAAAGAGAGGAUUUGCUAAGAGAGGAUUAGAGAAUACUAAUUGGAGUUGCUUGGUGGUGAAGCAAGCUUAGUGGAGAAGAAGGCUUGGAAUUGAGCUACUUCCUUCAUCUUCUUCAUCACUUGGAUUAGAGAAGAAAGCUUGUUUAAGGUAAGCUUCAUGGGCUCUAAUGGCAUAUAGCUAGAGAUGGGUUUAAAUCUCUUAGAAUCUAGCUAGAUGGAAAUCCUAGUUAAUGUUAGGUUGCUAUUUGCUUGAAUCAUGAAUUUAUAUAGUAUAUUAUUGCAAUAGUGACCUCUAGGAUUUUGAAAGAGAGCUCUUGAUCAUGAGAGGUUUUAAUCUCAAUUGAUCAUAUGUUUCCGCAAUUGAAGGUAAAACCGAUGCGGAGGAUCAUUCGGAUUGAGAUUCCGUUGAGCCGGUGGUGGUCAAAGUGAAGAAAAUUCUAUUUUGCUUCAUUUGUCGCAGUUGGAAGAAAACAACGGCCAUAAAUCGCGCUACUAGGCUACUCGCUUCGUGUCGACAUCACGAGGUGGGGGGUGCUAUCCGAAAUAGCCGAGUUUCAUUCUAUGUCUAAGUUCUACUUUUAUUGAUCAUAUAUCAUCAUGCAUAGAAUAGUGAGAAUCCUAUGAGUUGUGGUAAUUUCAUGCUUAGUGUGAGGGAUAAUGAUCCAUGAUUGCAUGAUACUUGUAGGAAUAUCUAUUUGCAUGAUGUUGAGAUAGAUGUGGACAUGUAUGUUGCAUGAGAACUUUUAUAUGAUGCCAAUAUAAAUAUUGUACAUGUUGUAUGAAUUGCUAGUGGACAUAUGCAUGUGAAUAUGAUGUAAGAAUAGACUAGAUUCAUGAGGAACUAGUAUGUAAACCAAUGACAUUGUGAGAAUUGGAAACUAAUGCAUAUGUGGCCGACCUGAGCAAAGCAUGCCUUGUGAGGAUAGGGAUAUGGUACUCCCGUGGCCCUCGAAUGAGAGGACUUGAUCAUACUCGCAUUGUCUGUUAUAGCUUGUGGAUGGUCGCUCCUCCCAAGCAGUGAGCUCCGGAGUUGAAUCACAUUGAGAUUGGAACGGGGGAGAGAGUCACUACGGUGCGCCCUCGGCAGACGGUCACGGUCGCGUGACAGUAUGUGUAGCGAGUGAUUCGACCUUCGGGCGAAUCGUUUGGAUUUGACACAGGCAUGAUCAUGACAUUUCGUAUAUAGUUGCAUACAUGAGAGAACUUAAACAUGUACUUGUUGACAUAAUUUGUAAAGGCAUAGCUACACAUUCGAGCAUGAUAUAGAUGUGGAUGAGCAAGGUAGGCUUAUUGUUAUAUCUAUUAUUCCUUUGACAUGUUGACCUCUUUAUUGUUUCUAUGCCUUUCUUGGACCUAGUGGGAAAAUCGGCGGGGUCGGCGGCCGAACCCACUGGGAACUAUGGAUAAUAGUUCUCACACCCUGUUUUGCAGAGCCUAGUUCGAGCGCGUGUGUCGAGGAUCGCGGCAAGGGCGUCGCGCAGUAGAUAGAGUGGAUCACCGGCGUUAGCUCCCUACCCUCGAGAAUAAAAAAGAAAAGAAUGAUAUGUAAAACCCUUUUGUGAAGAAAUGUAAUGUAUUUGAGGGAUGGCAUUUUGGUUGUAUGUAUGAGAAGUCAAGUGAAAUAUGUAAUGGUUCUUGUGUGUGAACAAGUAAUGAAAUAGAUAGUUUAAAUUCUCUCGUUUCUGUGAUUGCCUCUCUCAAUGUUGAAUGCUAACAUCUCUUGUUGGAUAUGUAUGCAUAGACUUUGUUACGCUUCGGGCGAGCAGGGGAAACUCUGUCCGUUCGGCGGGUCUGUUUGGGCCCGAACUGUCCAAAUUGGCGGUGUCGGGUCGUGACAAAACAUGUCCAAGUUUCUAUACAAAAAUAAACAUCUAUUGGGGUUCCUCCUCUAGUGCAAGCAACUAUGGUAGGAGACAUUAUCUAGUUUGCGAUCACCUUACCUUAAUCAGACACUGACACUAAGAACUCUGAAAGAAAC